RNAcentral lists this long non-coding RNA (216 nucleotides) under Lathyrus oleraceus (garden pea). RNAcentral's name for it is "Pisum sativum (pea) long non-coding RNA (PSAT_LNC016914)". Lineage: Eukaryota; Viridiplantae; Streptophyta; Magnoliopsida; Fabales; Fabaceae. The record is from RNAcentral.
UCAAGCGGGCUUAGGAGAGAUUGAGAUUCUAUUCUUCGGGAAGGGAAGUUGUUACGAAAGGUUCUCAGUCUUUCGACUUCCUCAUCCAUAUGAGGACCGGUUUUUUUUGUUCUGGCUUGUAAGGAAGUUGUUACGAAAGGUUCUCAGUCUUUCGACUUCCUCAUCCAUAUGAGGACCGGUUUUUUUUGUUCUGGCUUGUAGCUUGAUAAAGGGCGG